Molecule: long non-coding RNA, 665 nt
Organism: Strongylocentrotus purpuratus (purple sea urchin)
Lineage: Eukaryota; Metazoa; Echinodermata; Echinoidea; Camarodonta; Strongylocentrotidae
Exons: 2
Source: RefSeq, a predicted model, not a curated record
UUUCACGAAGUGACGGUAGUGAAAAAAAAUUGCAUUCACUUUGCGUUACGAUUUUCCUCACUACUGUCACUUCGUGAAAACAAGGACGAUUUGUCUUCCUGGUAUAUAAUCGAGAACAAAACCUUGAUAACAAGUACAAUAAUUGUUUUAUGGUGAAGGAAAAAAAAAGGAAGAAUAUUCAGUGUAGUUCAAGUACAAAUAAAGAUCUCACAUUAAAGGUAAUACUGUUUGUGAAGAGAAAAAUUAAUGUUUCUUUUUAAAUGUCUAUUUCUCAUCUACAGUCUCUGUAAUGUCUUACCGGUAGUUAUAAUGGAUAAUGUGGUAGCAGGUUUAGACUGCUGCUUUAUAAUGAUGUACAUAAUGGAUGAAGGCAAAUUGCAAUCAAGGCUUUAAUACAUGUAGCUGUGUUUCAACUAAUAGUGAAAAUCUAAUCAACCUCGAGGAUCAUAUAAGGAAAUAAAACUCUUUCUCUGCUGUGCAAUAUCUAAUCCAUGUCAGUUGUGUCAAAAAGAGAUGAUAAUUGUGUUAAUUACCAGUACAUGGAGAUAUGUACAAUUAAAUGUGUUAUUAUGUUUCAAAGAAAUGUAAUUUGUAUUAAUAAGGAACUUGACUUCUCAGGUUUUACCAAAUCAAAUUGAAUAUGAUGAACUAGGGUUACUAAUGCA